GAUGAACGCUGGCGGCGUGCCUAAUACAUGCAAGUAGAACGCUGAAGGAGGAGCUUGCUCUUCUGGAUGAGUUGCGAACGGGUGAGUAACGCGUAGGUAACCUGCCUGGUAGCGGGGGAUAACUAUUGGAAACGAUAGCUAAUACCGCAUGACAACAGUUAUUGCAUGAUAACUGUUUAAAAGGGGCAACUGCUCCACUACCAGAUGGACCUGCGUUGUAUUAGCUAGUUGGUGAGGUAACGGCUCACCAAGGCGACGAUACAUAGCCGACCUGGGAGGGUGAUCGGCCACACUGGGACUGAGACACGGCCCAGACUCCUACGGGAGGCAGCAGUAGGGAAUCUUCGGCAAUGGACGGAAGUCUGACCGAGCAACGCCGCGUGAGUGAAGAAGGUUUUCGGAUCGUAAAGCUCUGUUGUAAGAGAAGAACGAGUGUGAGAGUGGAAAGUUCACACUGUGACGGUAUCUUACCAGAAAGGGACGGCUAACUACGUG
Molecule: ribosomal RNA, 495 nt
Filed under: uncultured bacterium
Lineage: Bacteria
Description: partial 16S ribosomal RNA
Rfam family: Bacterial small subunit ribosomal RNA
Source: RNAcentral